UACGUAGGAGGCAAGCGUUAUCCGGAAUGACUGGGCGUAAAGGGUGCGUAGGUGGUUUGGCAAGUUGGUAGCGUAAUCCCGGGGCUCAACCUCGGUGCUACUACCAAAACUGCUGGGCUUGAGUGCAGGAGGGGUGAAUGGAAUUCCCAGUGUAGCGGUGGAAUGCGUAGAUAUUGGGAAGAACACCAGCGGCGAAGGCGAUUCACUGGACUGUAACUGACACUGAGGCACGAAAGCGUGGGGAGCAAACAGG
RNAcentral lists this ribosomal RNA (253 nucleotides) under uncultured bacterium. RNAcentral's name for it is "partial 16S ribosomal RNA". It matches the Rfam family "Bacterial small subunit ribosomal RNA", at positions 524 to 776 of the family's 1533-position model. The record is from RNAcentral.